This 2083-nucleotide unclassified non-coding RNA is filed under the name Anthonomus grandis grandis. RNAcentral's name for it is "3-hydroxyacyl-CoA dehydrogenase type-2-like". The record is from RNAcentral. Lineage: Eukaryota; Metazoa; Arthropoda; Insecta; Coleoptera; Curculionidae.
UAUCUUUAUCAGUCUAAGUUUUAUUUAUGGUGAGAUAUGAAUAUACGUGUAGUAAAAAAUUUCAUUCUAAAUUUUCUAUGUGAUACAGGUUAGAAUUUGUGUACGUGUUCAACGUCAAUGUUAAUAAAAAAUUCAGUAUUCUUGGUUACCGGGGGUGCAUCUGACCAAUAUGGAAUAGCUGCAGUUGAAGCAUUACUUAAAGAAGGAGGAAAAGUAAUAAUAUGUGAUUUUCCAACAAAAGAUUUACAUAUUUAUGGCGAUGACAAGGCGAUUUUUUUACCCAUAAAUAUAAUGGAUGAAAAUGAUAUAAAAACAUUAAAUGAAAUUAUAGUAGAAAAGUAUGGAAGAUUAGAUGGUGUAAUCAACUGCAUUGAUCAACAAAAGUUUGGACUUGCAUACGAUUUUAAUAAAAUGGAGCCUCAGGAUCUCAAAGAAUUCACGGAAGUGGUCCAUGAAAAUGUUUUAGGGCCAUUUAACGUAAUACGAUUAACAAUACCGCUGAUGUCUAAAAACAUACCAAAAAAAGGAAGCGGUCGUGGUAUAAUUAUAAACAUGUCUAACGCGGCAGCUUUUGAUGGAGUUAAGGGAUCUAUUGCUUAUGCAGCUAGUAAAGCUGCUGUAAUAAAAAUGACUGAGUCACUUAGUUAUGAACUGCAAGGAAUUCAAAUUAGAUGUGUUUCUAUUGUUACAAGCUCAGGUGGUAGCGACACAUUGGACGAAUUCGAUGGAAUUCCUGAGGAUUCAACUAAAGCAGCUAAUGUAAUUUCCGAACCACAGAAGUUUGCAGAUCUCAUAAAAACUGUUAUUAAAAAUCCGGCUAUGAACUUGCCAAUGAUGAUGCUAAAUAACUUUAAUACGAGUUAAAUUGGAAGUUAGAGGAGGCAAUUUGUUAUGCUGCACAAACCUAUAUUCUGUACGUUUCCUUUUUACCAGAGAUGCCAAGUAUAGACAGUAAUGGAAAAUUAAUAUUAAAAAUUCUUGCUUAAAAACCGCUGGCAAAAUAAUUCAAACAGAACACUUUGUCCAACCAUUUUACCCCAGAAUUCAUUCUACCCCCAAUCGUCAGACGAAAACACUAACUAUCAAAGCACUUAGAGAGACUAGGUUGUACCAGGUGAUUUAUUAAGGGUGUCACAGGGUAGCAUAUUUCAGAGCCUGUAUAUUAUGUAGUAGACCUGAGGAAGUUUUGGACUUUAACUUAUCGGUAUGAAGGUAGAAUGUGGCGGAGCCACGAACUUAUAAAUAUUUUUAAGUUCGUGGGCGAAGCGGAAUAGUCUGCAAGAAACAAGCCAAGACUCAUGGUUUUCUUCCAAUUUAAAGUUCCUAGGUAAUUUUAUAGUAUUUGUAGUUUUUUUUGAGUCAUGGGUUGAUAAAUUAUCUUACAAACGUGCCAACAUCGAAUCAUCGUGCAACUGCGGAAUAGGAGAGAGGUAAAUUUCAGGUUAAGAUGCAUCUUGGAUGUAUUAUCAUUUUUCAGGGUAUAAUUAUAGAUUAAAUACUAUUUUGGACCUAUCUAUGUCCCUGUUCUCAUUUUAACAUUUUUUUUACAAUUCAGUUUUAAUUCUUGGACUUCCAUUGGAAAAACGUCUAGUAUUUUAUUUUCCUUGUCUUUAUCUACAUUAAGAUACUCAUGAAAAUGUACUUUAUGCACUAGUUUGUAUAUUAGGAAUUGCCCAGACAGUCACAGAAAUCAUAGAUUUCUUUAAAUUUCCAUUAAAUCCAUCCUUACAAAAAUCUUGGAGGAAGAUCUGUCAUGUAAGUCUGACUAAAAAUGUCACCAAUUAUCGAGUUUGCUCCAAACACUUUUCCGGUUCUGAUUUUAAUAACCCUGAUAAUCCUGUGCGACUUAGAUAGAAUGCUGGAGUAGAAAUGAUAUUCAGUAAAUUCGGAUGGAGUAGAAAUACACCUAUUUGUUCAGUUUAAAGAAAAUGAUGACAUGCAGAUUGACAUAUCCUUCUCAAAAACUGAUUUUCCUAACCGACUUAAUCUAGACUACCUAUCUACCGACUAAUAAGUGUUGGUCAUUCUAAAAAACAGAAAAAGUGUUGACAAUCUAAAAUGCUUUCAAAAUAAACAAAAAUCU